CCUUGGGGGUAUGGCCUACAGGCGACGACGGGUAGCCGGCCUGAGAGGGCGACCGGCCACACUGGGACUGAGACACGGCCCAGACUCCUACGGGAGGCAGCAGUGGGGAAUAUUGCACAAUGGGCGAAAGCCUGAUGCAGCGACGCCGCGUGAGGGAUGACGGCCUUCGGGUUGUAAACCUCUUUCAGCAGGGACGAAGCGAAAGUGACGGUACCUGCAGAAGAAGCACCGGCCAACUACGUGCCACCAGCCGCGGCCG
RNAcentral lists this ribosomal RNA (259 nucleotides) under Rhodococcus rhodochrous. RNAcentral describes it as "partial 16S ribosomal RNA". It matches the Rfam family "Bacterial small subunit ribosomal RNA", at positions 245 to 523 of the family's 1533-position model. The record is from RNAcentral. Lineage: Bacteria; Bacillati; Actinomycetota; Actinomycetes; Mycobacteriales; Nocardiaceae.